Non-coding RNA from Gossypium hirsutum (cotton), 145 nucleotides. Lineage: Eukaryota; Viridiplantae; Streptophyta; Magnoliopsida; Malvales; Malvaceae. The record is from Rfam.
UUUUAAAAAUUUCAUCUAUUUGUAUUGUUAAAAACUGACGUGAUUGACGAAAUAACCAUAUCGUAACCCAUAGCAUGCUAUGUGUACCUCAUGUUGACGUACAUGAACAAAUUUUUAAUAACAAAAAUGGAUGAAAAUUUUAACA